UGCACGAACGCUGGCGGCGUGCCUAAUACAUGCAAGUCGAGCGAAUCUUUGGGAGCUUGCUCCCAUUGGUUAGCGGCGGACGGGUGAGUAACACGUGGGCAACCUGCCUAUAAGACUGGGAUAACUUCGGGAAACCGGAGCUAAUACCGGAUAAUCCUUUUCUUCUCAUGAGGAAAAGCUGAAAGACGGUUUCGGCUGUCACUUAUAGAUGGGUCCGCGGCGCAUUAGCUAGUUGGUGAGGUAAUGGCUCACCAAGGCGACGAUGCGUAGCCGACCUGAGAGGGUGAUCGGCCACACUGGGACUGAGACACGGCCCAGACUCCUACGGGAGGCAGCAGUAGGGAAUCUUCCGCAAUGGACGAAAGUCUGACGGAGCAACGCCGCGUGAACGAUGAAGGCCUUCGGGUCGUAAAGUUCUGUUGUUAUGGGGAGAACAAGUACCGGAGUAACUGUCGGUACCUUGACGGUACCC
This 472-nucleotide ribosomal RNA is filed under the name uncultured Shewanella sp. RNAcentral describes it as "bacterial SSU rRNA". It matches the Rfam family "Bacterial small subunit ribosomal RNA", at positions 27 to 480 of the family's 1533-position model. Lineage: Bacteria; Pseudomonadati; Pseudomonadota; Gammaproteobacteria; Alteromonadales; Shewanellaceae. The record is from RNAcentral.